AUUCCAAACGAACUUGGAGAUAGCUGGUUCUCUCCGAAAUAGCUUUAGGGCUAGCCUCGCAAAGAGGAUGCUGGAGGUAGAGCUCUGUUUGGACUAGGGGCCCGUCAGGGGUUACUGAAUCCAGAUAAACUGCGAAUUCCAGACAUUUAUAUGCGGGAGUCAGACUGCGAGUGAUAAGAUCCGUAGUCGAAAGGGAAACAGCCCAGAUCACCAGUUAAGGUCCCUAAAUACAUGCUAAGUGGAAAAGGAUGUGGAGUUGCGCAGACAACUAGGACGUUGGCUCAGAAGCAGCCAUCAUUCAAAGAGUGCGUAAUAGCUCACUAGUCGAGUGACGCCGCGCCGAAAAUUUACCGGGGCUAAGCAUGAUACCGAAACUGUGGAUGCAUACGUAAGUAUGCGUGGUAGGAGAGCGUUCCAGCGGCGAAGAAGCAUGACUGAGAAGACAUGUGGAGCUUCUGGAAGUGAGAAUGCCGGUAUGAGUAGCGAAAGACAGGUGAGAAUCCUGUCCGCCGCAAGACUAAGGUUUCCUGGGGCAGGCUCGUCCGCCCAGGGUAAGUCGGGACCUAAGGCGAGGCCGAGAGGCGUAGUCGAUGGACAACAGGUAGACAUUCCUGUACUGCACCCAAUCGUUAUGAGCGAAGGAGGGACGCAGGAGGCUAGCAGCGCAUGGUGCUGGAAACCAUGUUCAAGCGCUGAGUCUGGAAAUGAGUCAAAUGCUUAUUUCCUCAAGGACAAGGCGUGAUGAGGAGCGAAAUUAAAGUAGCGAAGGCUGCGACGUCACACUGCCAAGAAAAGCUUCUAGCCAGAGAAGGUGCACCCGUACCGCAAACCGACACAGGUAGUCGAGGAGAGUAUCCUCAGGUGAGCGAGAGAACUCUCGUUAAGGAACUCGGCAAAAUGGCCCCGUAACUUCGGGAGAAGGGGCGCUGACUUAUGGUCAGCCGCAGUGAAUAGGCCCAAGCAACUGUUUAUCAAAAACACAGCUCUCUGCUAAAUCGUAAGAUGAUGUAUAGGGGGUGACGCCUGCCCGGUGCUGGAAGGUUAAGAGGAGUGCUUAGCGUAAGCGAAGGUAUGAAUUGAAGCCCCAGUAAACGGCGGCCGUAACUAUAACGGUCCUAAGGUAGCGAAAUUCCUUGUCGGGUAAGUUCCGACCUGCACGAAAGGUGUAAUGAUUUGGGCACUGUCUCAACGAGAGACUCGGUGAAAUUAUAAUACCCGUGAAGAUGCGGGUUACCCGCGACAGGACGGAAAGACCCCAUGGAGCUUUACUGUAGCUUGAUAUUGGGUGUUUGUACAACUUGUACAGGAUAGGUAGGAGCCGUAGAAGUCGGAACGCUAGUUUCGAUGGAGGCAUUGGUGGGAUACUACCCUCGUUGUAUGAACACUCUAACCCUCGCCGGCAAUCACGGCGGGGUCCAGCGUGGUGUCAUAGCUCAAGCGGCCGAAUCCGUAGAGGUUCGCAGCGGCCAGAUCGUGGCCGGUCCAGUUUUCAUCGUUGCCGGUGUUGGUCACGGCCACCAUUCCGUUGCCCGCGCCUUGGAUCAGCGCACGCACAUGGGCGUCGCCGUUCGGGCGGGUGUGCAUGUCGAAGUCCAAAAUCUGGCGGAACCAGGGCAUCAAGUAGCAGACGUGGCGCUGCUGGCCCGUGUACUCCUGCGCAAUUUGGAACUCCACGGCAAUGUGGGUGUGCUGCAGGCCGCCAAUCAGCGGGGAGACCGGUUCGCGCACCUGGAAGUCCAUGGGGCCGUUCUUGAUUUGCAGCGUGACGUUGUCGCGGAAGGUGCCGUCCAGCGGCAUAAAAUAGUCGUAGCCUGCGCGGG
This 1820-nucleotide ribosomal RNA is filed under the name metagenome. RNAcentral describes it as "bacterial LSU rRNA". The stretch from base 1 to 1568 matches the Rfam family "Bacterial large subunit ribosomal RNA", at positions 826 to 2925 of the family's 2925-position model. The record is from RNAcentral.